GUGUCCCCAUGAGAGGUGCACACACAACAAGCAACUACUCCCCCAAACUCCUUCCACAGAUGAGGAAACGGAGGCUCAAAAAUGUUGGCUUGUCCCUAGUCACACGGUUUGUAAACGGCAGAAGUGGAGCAGAGAGUUUCACAGCUGCCUCUGGUCACCCACGUCCGUUGCAUCAUGGCCUAGCCUGACAGCAUGCCAGGGGUUCCAUUCGCUGCCGCAGAGGGCCAAGGGUCAGGAGAUGUAGGAUGUGGAGCCUCCUACCCGCCCUGGAGUGGAUGCAGGCAGUCUCUAGGGAUAAGGACUUCUACACCCUCCAUCCGGAAUUAGUGGCUCUUUUUUUUUUUUUUUAAAGUUGGUUUAUUUUCCAGUGAAUUGUGGGGUGUAGGGUAUGUGUGUAAUUGUUGCUUCCUCAAGAUUCACGACCAUGGUACCAAGGAUUUACAAGUCAUUUUCCACUGCAAGUAUUGGUUUUCUUUGGUAAGGACUUCCCCAUCAACUCAAAUACUGGCUAUGCUUCAGGGACAGGAGGAUGACUCAGGAGCUACCCCAAGGAGGACGGAGACUCUAUGUGGUAUGACAACCCUCUCAGUUGACAGUAACUCUCUGGGCUUGAGACAGUUUGUGGGAAAGAGAGGGACACUCUGGUGUUCCAUGUUCAUCAACCUUAACCUGGUCUGUGGCCAGAUGACAGUCACCACAUAUCAGGACAUCGCAGACCAAGCAGAUCCUGGGUGGUCACUGGCAUCCAGUUUCUCUCUCUCUCUCUCUCUCUCUCUCUCUCUCCCACACACACACACAUGCAUGUGGAGACAGAAAUACAAUCAAGGGUUCUAAAUCCUUCCAAACCAGAUGUGACCUCUGCAUGGCUCCUUCAGUCAAUUUCACAAAUAUUUACCGCGCACUUCCCUGUGCCAGGUGCAGUGCUGGCCACCAGGGAUCCAAAGGUGGCCAGGUCAGGGACACCAUUCUAAAUGUGCUCUCUGUCUAGUGGGCAGAGAUGUAACAUGCACGGUAACACUACAGCAAUGACAGCAAAGGCUGCCUGUUCACACGGUGGGCAGGAAGCACGGCUGCCCAUGGCCCGGGGGCGGGAAAGCAUUGCACACAGAGCCAAAGAAUUCGGGUCCCUCCCUGGAGCGCUUUGAUGAGGUUGCCUUACAGCUGAUCUGUGCUUGAGCACACCGAGAGGAAGCUAAAGACUGGGUACCUAAGUGAGAAAGUUGAGUUACUAGGUACGAAGCAUCAGUACCUCAUGCUGCCAUGGACAGCUGGGCAGGACCCGGCCUACAGGAAAGGCAGGAAGAGACAGGUGGAGAAGGUGGCUUUUAUUGCUUUUGCUCACACUGCGGAAUCUACCCUCUGAGAAUUUAGGGAAUCAUGGCUUCUCUCUCUCCUGCCUUCCCCCACAUCCCUUUUUUUCUUUAAGAUUUUUGCUUGUUCAGACUUUUGUUUUGUAUGCUUCCUCUGUCGCUCAGGCUUGCUUGAAACUCUAGUAUAGCCUAGAGCCCAGACUGACCUAAACUCAUGGCAACUCUUCUGCCUCAGCCUGGGAUUACAGGCAUGAAUUACCGUGACUGUGUUUUUUCCAUUUUCCUGUAAUUGUUGAAGGUAAAACUGAAUUGGUGGCCUGUUCACUGCCCUGUGGUUUUCACUCUUGCUGAUACCCUCUGACCAUUCCUUUGGAUCCAGAUGGAAAGCCAGCUCCUACGAGUUGCCAUGUUAGGACAUGGGGGGACAUGUCUCGCCUGGUCAGCCAGGGUUCAGAGAAGGAGAGCCCUCUUGAAUUCCCACAGGAGUGGAAUUUUAUUCGGCUGGUGGAGGAGCUGGGUGGUGGAGACCAGGAAAGGGCAGAGUUGGAGAAGGAGCCGGCAGGCAGGCAGUAUGGCUGACUAGCUGAGAGCACCUUCAUCUCUGGAAGGACCACAGAGGGAGGCUGAGGAGCGGUCCUGAGGAGCUGAGCCCAGUGGGAGUGGGCCUGAGGCUCGAGAGCCCUCAAAUGAGCACGUAGGGAGAGCUGGAGACACCAAUAAAUAAGAGAUGGACAUGUUUCAGCCUGAUGGCCCUCUGGGUCUGUCCCCUAGCUGACCUGGAUCACCUUCAGAGAGGACGAGCAACUGCUUCUCUUUAUCUCCACUUUGUGAGUUUGCCUUCUGGUCCCCCUUCACUCUGGGAAGAGCAGCUCCAGCUGUGCCAAGCUGAAGGGCUCAACCCUUACAUUUAAAGUAGAUAUUGGUGGGGGCAGAGAACCCUGACUUGACAGAGAAACAAACAAGCAAACAACCUCACAGGCGGUCCUAGGGUCAUGAACCGGGAACUCACAGUAUGGUGUGUGUGUGUAUGUUUGUGUGUGUGUGUGUGUGUGCGCGCGCGCGCGCGUGCGCGCGCCUCUGUUUUUAAAGGCCCAACAGGUGAUACUGGUGCGGUGUGUAGGAAAGCUUGCAAUCUUCUGUUCCCCCAACGGAACAAGUCACAGUGAAUUCGGCUUGAACAGCCUGCCGUGGGACACCUCCAUCAACAGCUAGCUGUGUGGGGACACUGAGACGAGGACCCAGCUGCUGAGGUUACCCCACAUUGCCUUCUGAGCCAGAUGUCCUCUUCUGUCCUGUCUUGCUGUCACAGCCCUUUCCAGAUUCUCAGAGCAAGCUAAGAAAGUCGACAUGCAUCCAAUUCGCAAGCCCGCUGGUGAGCCAGCUGCUGGGUGUGGAUGGCCAGCCAGCAGGCUCUCACGCCCAUACGGCCAAGGGAAUGAUGAGUUGGGAAAUCAGAGGUAUGCCCCACCCUGCAAGCCGGGCUGGCAGGUGACUCACACAAUUGACUGGUCCCAUUCCAGAGAUCACCAUUAAGCAGCUUGUGUCUGACACCCCAACGUAUGUGGGCAUCUAUGUGGGAUACCGUAUGGAGCAAGUGAAAAUGACAGGGACCUGCCUUGGAGGUCAAGAUGAACAGAUUGAGAGACCCUCCCACCGGUCUCAUUUGCCCCUGCUGCUCGCAGACACACCCACCUACCCACUCACUCCACAGAGAGCUGCACCCUGCUGCAAGGCUGUUGACUGUGUGGCGGCACCCUCAGCUCCUUGGCCCCUUGCCGGAAGCUCGCGAACUGAAUUGUAGCGCGGAGAGUGCAGAAGGGGGCGCGAUACACCGCAAGACAGAAUGCAUGCGGAUGUGGGACUGGAAGAGAAGGAAGGGACAGAAUCAAAUAAGACUGUGCAGCCUAGAUGGGAAGGAAGAUCAUGCCCAAACAGAUGAUUCAUACAUCCUACAAAUGCCUGGGGUACUGAAGUCCGGGAGGCCCCUUGGGUUGGCCCCACACUGGCAUCGCGAGCAGAAGUCUCCUUAAAUUUUGUACCUUGGACUCCUCACUUGCCUUGCUUUCUUCAAAGCUCUGGGGUCAAAAGCCAAAGCCUGACAAAUAGAAAGCACCAUGAAAAUGUUUGAUGACACCUGAGGAGCCUGGGGAGUUUAAAUAGGCUCAGAGGAUGGACCGGUGAUUUCAGAAGUGACUGAUGCUGUGCACACACAGGAGCAUCCCAGCAAGACUCCAUCCCCUCACAAGAAAGGAGUAUGCCAUCUUAGGCCCCACUCUGUAGCCAUGGCCUCAGGCUCGUGGCCACCCUCCUGCUAUAGCCUCUCUGGUGCUGAGAUCACAGGAGUGAGCUGCCAUGCCUGGCUACACCUUCCUUCAUGUUGCUGUCUUAAGCUGAUUUUUUCCUCCAAUAAAUAAGGGAAAAAACAGGCAAAAAAGAAAGGACCUGAACAA
Myodes glareolus (Bank vole) is the source of this 3760-nucleotide non-coding RNA. Lineage: Eukaryota; Metazoa; Chordata; Mammalia; Rodentia; Cricetidae. The record is from RefSeq and is a predicted model, not a curated record.